UGACAUUCUACAGAUGGCUGCAUGUAAGC
This 29-nucleotide non-coding RNA is filed under the name Homo sapiens (human). Lineage: Eukaryota; Metazoa; Chordata; Mammalia; Primates; Hominidae. The record is from RNAcentral.